UUUUGGAAGCAUAUUAGUUUUUAUUUUCAUCUUUCAUAUAACACGUUUAAAGACCGCUUCUUAAAAUUUAAAUAUUUUUAAUGUUUCUUAUUAAGCUUGUUUACGCUCUUUGAAAUCAUCUCCAGAAACCCAUUUAUUUUUAGUUUCAAGCUGAAAUGGAGCUGAAUCAUCACUCUUUUCAAAAAAUUCUUUUGUUGUCUAAUGGCACCACACCUAUCAUAUAUAUGAUUUUUUAAAAAAUUAAUCUCCCUUUUAUGGCAGAAUCAUUUAGUAAGUUUGUAAAAGCUAUACAUUUAUAUACUAUCUGAAGAGCAGAGGCUAUCCAAUUAAAAACCCUCCCCCAAAAGAUUACAACUGUCUUAUUUAAUUUUUGUUUUUUUAAAAGUCAUAUUCUAAUGCAUCUAAUGUUCUUGCUGCAUGGCUAAAAAAAAAACUAUAAAAACAUGCAAAUUUCAACCUACCUGUAUGCAUCACUUAAUGCAGUGCUAGCAUGACAAGACACUCAGCCAUUUUUAUGUAAAGCGAUGGAGACCAACUGAUUUCUCUGUCUUCUUGCUCACAAGUUUUAGAUGCAAUUGUCACAUACACACAAAAAUCAUACGCAGAACAGCUUGAAUGAACUGUGAUCACAGAACUGAAUUUAUCAACAGGAAAACAGGAUUGAAAAAAGAAGUUUCUCAUCCAAGGUUUCUCUGAGACUGCAACCAAGGAGGUGGUGUGUUGAAUUUUUUUCCCCUUCCUCCUCUGAGAGUUCAAAGCUCGGAGCUGACCACUGCAAAGGCCACUGUCACAUUUGCUGAAAAUCAAACCACUGAUACCAGCAUUGAAAAUACAAAUUUGAGAACCCAAGUUGCUUGCACAUGAUGGAGUGCAUAAGAGUUAAAAAUAGAAUCCACCUUGCCUCCUACCUGCAUAAUAAACAUGUAAGUUUCAAGUGUUUAAUUUGAUAUUCACAUUAAUUAACAAUACAACAUACAUUAUUUAAAAGACAGCAAAUGCACGAAGAAAGGAGAGACACCAUCUGGUAGCAGAGUUUUGUUGUUGUUUUUGUUUUUAGGGUUUGUGGGGGGUUUUGGUUUUGUUAAAAAAAAAAGGUAAAAUCAUAUUUAGAAUGUGAUGUAAAGCAAACAUCCAGAAGCAAAUGAAUCGGAAAUGAAAGGUGAUGUUGAAAUAUCUAAGGCUGUAAUGAGGCAAAAACAAGUCUUCGCUACCAGAUGAUAUGGCAUACAGAGCAUUUACAUACUCACAUCUGAAAUACUAGGCAACGUGUAAUGAAUUCUAGACACAGCAUGCACACACAGCACAAGCACGACUAAUCCUGCCUGCCAUCUUAGGCUCGCAGAAGCAAGAUACGUACUGCAUGCAGCACACGAGCACUGGGGAAGGAGGAGGCAAGGGACAGCUCACCUUAAAUGCAGUAUCUGAUUAAUGUUGUAAGUGACAUUGCAUAUCAGCCUC
RNAcentral lists this long non-coding RNA (1458 nucleotides) under Macaca fascicularis (crab-eating macaque). Its description in RNAcentral is "lncRNA (ENSMFAG00000053690.1)". The record is from RNAcentral. Lineage: Eukaryota; Metazoa; Chordata; Mammalia; Primates; Cercopithecidae.